This 253-nucleotide ribosomal RNA is filed under the name uncultured bacterium. RNAcentral describes it as "partial 16S ribosomal RNA". It matches the Rfam family "Bacterial small subunit ribosomal RNA", at positions 524 to 776 of the family's 1533-position model. The record is from RNAcentral.
UACGGAGGGGGUUAGCGUUGUUCGGAGUUACUGGGCGUAAAGCGCGCGUAGGCGGAUUAGAAAGUUGGGGGUGAAAUCCCGGGGCUCAACCCCGGAACUGCCUCCAAAACUACUAGUCUAGAGUUCGAGAGAGGUGAGUGGAAUUCCGAGUGUAGAGGUGAAAUUCGUAGAUAUUCGGAGGAACACCAGUGGCGAAGGCGGCUCACUGGCUCGAUACUGACGCUGAGGUGCGAAAGUGUGGGGAGCAAACAGG